AUGGCGCAUCAAGCAACAAUCCGAGUGGCUACAGACCUGACUGGAAGCUCAUUUGGCAAUGUGCAGUCCCUCCUAAGGUACGAAUUUUUGCAUGGAAGCUUGCAUCUAAUGCUUUGGCUACUCAGGAGAAUAUGUGCAGAAGAGGUAUGGAGGAAGAUCCCACAUGCACUGUGUGUGGACGGGAACCAGAAGAUGCUUUCCAUGCCCUACUCCGAUGCCCACAUGCGCGUGAGCUCUGGGCAGCAAUGCGUCAAGAAUGAACCCUCCCAGCUGAAGCAGCACCCUAUUGUUGAUGUUCAGAAGGGAAAGCAAGUGGUGGAUUACGUCCAGAGCUGCACCACUACACGCCACUGGUCCAAUGGCCGUCAAAAAGUGCGUCAGAAAUGGGAACCUCCACCAGCGGACCGGGUCAAACUCAAUGUGGAUGGAUCGUUCAUUCCAGACGGGUCAGCAGGAACGGGCAUGGCGCUUCGUGACAGUGCUGGAUCCUCGAUCUUUGUUGCAUGCAGGUACCUCUUUGGAUGCGCUGAUGCCGUGGACGCAGAACUUGCUGCGAUGGAGGAGGGCCUGGCCCUUGCCCUCUAG
Molecule: ribosomal RNA, 585 nt
Filed under: Triticum aestivum (bread wheat)
Lineage: Eukaryota; Viridiplantae; Streptophyta; Magnoliopsida; Poales; Poaceae
Description: partial small subunit ribosomal RNA
Source: RNAcentral